CUAAGAAUAUUCCACAAUGGACGGAAGUCUGAUGGAGCGACGCCGCGUGUAUGACGAAGGCCGAAAGGUUGUAAAGUACUUUUGCGGAUGAAGAAUAAGUGGUGGAGGGAAUGCCAUCAUGAUGACGUUAGUCCGUGAAUAAGCCCCGGCUAAUUACGUGCCAGCAGCCGCGGUAACACGUAAGGGGCGAGCGUUGUUCGGAAUUAUUGGGCGUAAAGGGCGCGUAGGCGGUUUUAGAAGUCUGAUGUGAAAUACCUAAGCUUAACUUGGGAACUGCAUUGGAAACUGUGAAACUGGAAUCACGGAGGGGGAGUUGGAAUUCCUGGUGUAGGGGUGAAAUCUGUAGAUAUCAGGAAGAACACCGGUGGCGAAGGCGAACUUCCAGCCGAUGAUUGACGCUGAGGCGCGAAAGUGCGGGGAGCAAACAGGAUUAGAUACCCUGGUAGUCCGCACUAUAAACGAUGUGCACUAGGUGUUGGGCCGAGCGGCUCAGUGCCGGAGCGAACGUGAUAAGUGCACCGCCU
This 524-nucleotide ribosomal RNA is filed under the name uncultured bacterium. Its description in RNAcentral is "bacterial SSU rRNA". It matches the Rfam family "Bacterial small subunit ribosomal RNA", at positions 355 to 874 of the family's 1533-position model. The record is from RNAcentral.